RNAcentral lists this long non-coding RNA (655 nucleotides) under Prunus dulcis (almond). Its description in RNAcentral is "sRNA ncRNA". Lineage: Eukaryota; Viridiplantae; Streptophyta; Magnoliopsida; Rosales; Rosaceae. The record is from RNAcentral.
AUUCAUAGCUAAAUUAAAUAAUGCUUAAGAUCUCUCUCAAAGUUAUAUAACUAAGAUGGGGAGAUUCAAAUGACUUAAAAUAGAGGCAGGGCAACACACACACACAAAUGGAGGACAGUGCUGGUGCUGAGUUUCCAGGCUUCCAAACUUGUGCUCACAAAAGUGACACCAAUAUUUUUAGAAGGCAUUUGAGUCAUCGGCUGCAAAGACGAGCUCCUUGUCCUCUUCAGCUAAACCCUAAUAACAAUGUCUCUUCGAGUUGCAGCGGUAUGCAGAACUUGGUGGGGAGCAGCUCAAAUUCUUCUUCAUCUUCAUUGAAUUCCUUCUAUCAGAGCAAAGAUCCCAUUCCCCUACUCUCCCCUCUAGUGUUGCUGCCUUAAAUUAAUUGCCACAAAAUCUUACUGAAUUUUUCACGAGGUUUAUAUUCUAUGGCAAGUUUAUGCUAUCUAAAAUGAUCUAUGGCACAUGUAUGUUAUUGGGAUUUAUCUCCUGUAUGUCAUAUAAACUUAUGUACAUGCCUCCCAUGGCUCUGUAAAUUGAGUACAUUUUCUUUGUAUGGUUGCCAAUGAAUUACAGAUCAUAAAAGAAGUCCUGCAGCUAGUUCAGUUGAGAUGUGACUUGCGAGCCCAUCAAUCAUCUUGCAAAUUGAUCCAGG